UGUAUAUUUGUGAUAUGCUUAAGGAUGACGGUAAAAGCCUAAUUGCAAUUAUUAAUUUCUGCUCGUCCAACACAGAAAAACAUUUCCUUUGUCCAAGAAAAGAAAAUUUCGAUAAUAACCCUUGGUAACGGAUCUGCGGAGAUGAAAGCUCAUGGCCAAGAAAAUAGGGAUUCAAGUAUGAUGUUAAACCACUUAGGCGAAAUUGCAGCAGUAGGCUGGUAAGGAAAACAAACAUUUAUGAGCUUAUUUCGGCGAGCCGAAUGAGUUUAUAGAAUAAGCAUUCGAUUUCGCCACAUGUAACAUUAAAAAUGUAACGCUUCAUUUUCCCUUGCGACCUGCUCUACCCAAUUAGCAAAAUUACAGGAUACGUGUGUUCUCAAAUAACGUGAUUACAUCAUUCUUUCCCCAGGGCCGGUAUUUCUUUCUAGAUCAAGGCCUACCAGCGUAUUGGAAUUUCUCGUUGUAAUGGCAGCUCGCAUCACAGCAAUUCUUCUCAUGUGUGCCGUGUUCGCCUACGGCAUCAUGGCCAUUGCAGCCAAUCAGGAUGCUACAGCACGAGGAAGUUCAGUGCCGGCGAGUGCUGCCAAUGAGGAUGCAAGAAUCUCAUCAGCUGCGAUCGGAAGCUUGGCGGGUGGAGGCCUCGGCUGAAGCUCACGUGAUUGGCUGCACCGAGGGAGCAGCGCGAGAGAACCGACUUUUGUCGCGUGCUCGCUUUAUUCUUUAGCGAGUUCAUUUUUCACCGUUCAAAUGAAAUAAAUGUCGGUGCAUUACCUGGU
Molecule: non-coding RNA, 776 nt
Organism: Dermacentor andersoni
Lineage: Eukaryota; Metazoa; Arthropoda; Arachnida; Ixodida; Ixodidae
Source: RefSeq, a predicted model, not a curated record